CUUAAUUGGGCGUUAAGUUGCAGGGUAUAGACCCGAAACCCGGUGAUCUAGCCAUGGGCAGGUUGAAGGUUGGGUAACACUAACUGGAGGACCGAACCGACUAAUGUUGAAAAAUUAGCGGAUGACCUGUGGCUGGGGGUGAAAGGCCAAUCAAACCGGGAGAUAGCUGGUUCUCCCCGAAAGCUAUUUAGGUAGCGCCUCGUGAAUUCAUCUCCGGGGGUAGAGCACUGUUUCGGCUAGGGGGCCAUCCCGGCUUACCAACCCGAUGCAAACUGCGAAUACCGGAGAAUGUUAUCACGGGAGACACACGGCGGGUGCUAACGUCCGUCGUGAAGAGGGAAACAACCCAGACCGCCAGCUAAGGUCCCAAAGUCAUGGUUAAGUGGGAAACGAUGUGGGAAGGCCCAGACAGCCAGGAUGUUGGCUUAGAAGCAGCCAUCAUUUAAAGAAAGCGUAAUAGCUCACUGGUCGAGUCGGCCUGCGCGGAAGAUGUAACGGGGCUAAACCAUGCACCGAAGCUGCGGCAGCGACACUGUGUGUUGUUGGGUAGGGGAGCGUUCUGUAAGCCUGCGAAGGUGGCCUGUGAGGGUUGCUGGAGGUAUCAGAAGUGCGAAUGCUGACAUAAGUAACGAUAAAGCGGGUGAAAAGCCCGCUCGCCGGAAGACCAAGGGUUCCUGUCCAACGUUAAUCGGGGCAGGGUGAGUCGACCCCUAAGGCGAGGCCGAAAGGCGUAGUCGAUGGGAAACGGGUUAAUAUUCCCGUACUUGGUGUUACUGCGAAGGGGGGACGGAGAAGGCUAUGUUGGCCGGGCGACGGUU
RNAcentral lists this ribosomal RNA (818 nucleotides) under Salmonella enterica subsp. enterica serovar Indiana. RNAcentral describes it as "partial 23S ribosomal RNA". It matches the Rfam family "Bacterial large subunit ribosomal RNA", at positions 683 to 1503 of the family's 2925-position model. The record is from RNAcentral. Lineage: Bacteria; Pseudomonadati; Pseudomonadota; Gammaproteobacteria; Enterobacterales; Enterobacteriaceae.